This 3230-nucleotide ribosomal RNA is filed under the name Durio zibethinus. Its description in RNAcentral is "eukaryotic LSU rRNA". It matches the Rfam family "Eukaryotic large subunit ribosomal RNA". The record is from RNAcentral. Lineage: Eukaryota; Viridiplantae; Streptophyta; Magnoliopsida; Malvales; Malvaceae.
GUCUCAGCACUAGUUGCAUGAACUGUAGACACUCUAGUGUCAGACGUGCCUCACCUCUGGUGACAUAUGCUUGUUGUCGAUCUGGACCCUAUCAGGCCCCCCCAUAUCACUCAAUUAAUGUUCACAUCACAACCUUAAGGUCAAGUAAGAUUACUCUCUAAGUUUAAGCAUAUCAAUAAACAGAGGAAAAGAAACUUACCAAGACUGCCAUAGUAAUGAUCACUGAACUAGGAAGAGCCCAGCUUAAGAAUUACGUGUCCUCGACAUCAAAUUGUAGUCUAGAGAAGUGUCCUUAAUGGCGAAACAUGCCUAAGUUCCUUAGAAAGGGGCACUAGAGAGGGUAAGAUUUUUGUUGUGCCAAAACAUUGUUAAACCACGAGGCACUAUUUGCAAGUCAGAUUGUUUGGGAAUGUAGCCUUAGUCAAAUGUGGAAUGACAAGAGUCGGUAAGCCAAUUAGCUCAGGGCAUGGACUGACACAAGUCAUGGUAGCGACCUAUGCUUGAGCUUUUGAUAGGCCUAUAGAGACAUCAUCAUCAUGAUCAUGGAAUGUAGCACAUACCAUCUCGACAUGACUCAACACUGACAUGCUCAUAACAUUGACCUACAAGCUCCCCAUCUAGCCUAUCUUGAAACAUGGACCAAGGAGUCUAACAUGUGUACAAGUUAAUGAGUUAGAAAACCCAUAACGUGUAAGGAAACUCAUUGGUAGGAUCCCUCAUGAGUGCACUACCAACCUACCUUGAUCUUUUGAGAAAGGUUCUAGUGUGAGCAUGCCUAUUGGGACCCAAAAGAUGGUGAACUAUGCCUAAGCAGGGCAAAGCUAGAGGAAACUCUUGUAGAGGCCCACAACGAUACUGAUGUGCAAAUUGUUCAUUUGACUUAGGUAUAGGGGCAAAAGACUAAUCAAACCAUUUAGUAGUUAGUUCCCUCUAAAGUUUCCCUCAGGUUAGCUAAAGCCCUUUGUGAGUUCUAUCGGGUAAAGCUAAUGAUUAAAGGCAUUGGGGUACAAUGCCCUCAACCUAUUCACAAACUUUAAAUAUGUAGGAUGAUGUGGCUACUUCAUUGAGCCACGCUAUGAAAUUGAAAGCUCCAAGUUGGCCAUUUUCGUAAGCAAAACUAGCAAUGUGGAAUAAACCAAAAGUCAAGUUACAAUUCCUAAUUGCACAUUAACCUAGAACUUGUAAAAGGUGUUGGUUGAUUAAGAUAGUAAGACAAUGGUCAUGAAAGUCAAAAUCUGCUAAGGAGUAUGUAACAACUCACCUACCAAAUCAACUAGCCCUAAAAAAGGAUGGCGCCUAAGCGCAUGACCUAUACUCAGUCAUCAGGGCAAGGGCUAGGUCUUAAUUAGUAGGAGGGCGUGAUGAUCACCAUAAAACUAGAACUAGGGGCACGAACCUAGGUGGAGCAACCAUCAGUGCAAAUCUUGAUGGUAGUAGCAAAUAUUCAAAUGAGAACUUUGUAGGCCAAAGAGGAGAAAGGUUCUAUGUGAAUGAUAGUUGCACAUGGGUUAGUCAAUCAUAAAAGAUGGGGGAAGCCCAUCUAACAGUGCAUCUAGUGCAAGCUUCAAAAGGGAAUCAAGUUAAAAUUCCUAAACUGGGAUGCAAUGACUAAUGACAAUGUUAGGAUGUCUGGAGAUGUCAGUAGGGGACUUGAGAAGAUUUAUCUUUUCUAUUUAAUGGCCUACCUACCUUGGAAAUGGCUCAGCCAAAGGUAAGGUCUAGCGAUGUGAAAAGCACUGUACAUUGUGUAGUGUCUGAUCACCUUUGAAAGCCCUUAAAAAUCUAGACAAUCAAGUACUAUCUAUGCCUAGUCGUACACACAACUGCAUAAGGUCUCCAAGGUGAAUAGCCUCUAGUCAAUAGAACAGUGUAGGCAUGAGAAAUUGACAAAAUGGAUUUGUAACCAUAAGAAAAAGAUUAGCUUUGAAGGCUAGGCACAUGGGUCCUAACCUCAAACCUAUCGGCUACUAGUGCAUUGCUUGGGUUACUCCCAUGGUAAAAGUAGGUCAUUACGUACUGGCUGAGGGAAAGACUGGGAAUGGUUCCCUCAGAGACCUUUCUCGAGUGAUGAAUAGUAAACUCAAAAUUGGUACAGACAAGGUCAAUCUGACUAUUUAAUUAAAAUAAAGUAAUGCUAUGGUCUUUGUGGAUGCUUACGUAAUGUGAUUUCUGCUAAGUGCUCUAAAUAAAAAGUAAAGAAACUUAACCAAGCAUUGGUAAACUGCAAGAGUAAUUAUGAUUCUCUUAAGGUAGCCAAAUGCCUCAUCACCUAAUCCACUAUCACUGUCUACUAUCUAGUGAAACCAUAGCCAAGGGAACAGGCAUGAUAAAAUCAACAAGGAAAGAAGACCAUGUUAAGCUUGACUUUAGUCUCACUUUAUGGAAUGACUUGAAAGGUAUAGAAUAAGUGGGAGCUCUCAGGUGAAAUUGAAAUACCAUUACUUUUAAAGUUAUUUUACUUAUUCCAUGAAGCGAAGGUGGGGCAUGACCUUUUUUUUUGGACCCAAGGCUACUCUUGAUCGAUCGAUCGUAAUAAAAGAUAAUGUCUAGUGAAAAGUUUGGUUGGGGCAGCCCAUCUGUUAAAAGAUAAUACAGGUGUCCUAAGAUAAGCUCAAUGAGAACAGAAAUCUCAUGUGGAACAAAAGGGUGAAAACUCAUUUGAUUUUGAUUUCAAGUACGAAUACAAACCAUGAAAGUGUGGCCUAUCAAUCCUUUAGACCUUCAAAAUUUAAAGCUAGAGGUGUCAGAAAAGUUACUACAAGGAUAAUUGGCUUGUGGCAACCAAGCAUUCAUAGCAAUGUUACUUUUUGAUCCUUCAAUGUCAGCUUUUCUUAUCAUUAUGAAGUAGAAUUCACCAAGUGUUGGAUUGUUUACCUACCAAUAGGGAAUGUGAGCUAGGUUUAGACCAUCAUGAAAUAGGUUAGUUUUACCCUACUGAUGGCAUCGUCGUAAUAGCAAUUCAACCUAGUAUGCAAAGAACCAUUGAUCAACACAAUUGGUCAUCAUGCUUGGUUGAAAAGCCAAUGGCGUAAAGCUACUUCACAUUGGAUUGUGACUAAAAGCCUUUACAUUAAAAUUUGAACUAGAAGUAACACAUGUGCCUGUCGCUCCAUUGUCAGCUUCCAGUAGGGGCCCAUAACAAUAGCACAUGUCAUAGGUGCAGCCGUUGCGGUAGACAAGCCAUGUGGGCCUCAUUGGUAUUCAAUUCCCAUUGAAUGGCAGGUAGAAUC